This is a long non-coding RNA of Lontra canadensis (Northern American river otter), 263 nucleotides long. RefSeq lists it as uncharacterized. Lineage: Eukaryota; Metazoa; Chordata; Mammalia; Carnivora; Mustelidae. The record is from RefSeq and is a predicted model, not a curated record. The transcript has 2 exons.
AGAGCACAGGACUUAGAGUCCAAGGACUUGGGCUGGGUCCUGGCUGGUGCCUACAUUCUGUGAGAUCGUUCCAGUCCCUUCUGAGCCCCAGCUUGCAGCCAGCUAAGUGGAAGGAAAAGCCCCAGCCUCUCCCUUCUCUCAGGGAAGCAGGGAGAGGUUAACCAGAGCCCUUUUCAAAUGCAAACGCCCCUGGAGGAAGAAACCGUAUUCCACGGGCCCCAGCCGCACAGCACCUGUGCCCAAUAAAUAUUUACUGAAUUAAA